RNAcentral lists this ribosomal RNA (793 nucleotides) under Rhopalocranaus sp. MZSP 73186. RNAcentral's name for it is "partial large subunit ribosomal RNA". The stretch from base 499 to 793 matches the Rfam family "Eukaryotic large subunit ribosomal RNA", at positions 665 to 921 of the family's 3401-position model. Lineage: Eukaryota; Metazoa; Arthropoda; Arachnida; Opiliones; Manaosbiidae. The record is from RNAcentral.
AACCGUUCGGAGGUAAACGAGUGGGCCCUCGAAGUGUGAAGGCGGGGGGACUCAGCCGAACGCCUUCGAGCCCGCCGGCGAGAACGCGCUUCCCUCCCGGGACGCGGUUCGCCGGUGCGCUGGCUCGGGUGUGCGGCGCAUUUCCUCCCGUCCUCCGACGCCGCGACCGGUCGGGCGCGCCACGAGCAGUCGGCCUUACUCGCGGGAAACGGAAGGUAGCCGGGUCGGCGCUUCGGCGUCGUUCCCCGGUGUUUAGCCGUCCCGCAAUCGAGUCAGCCGUUCGCCCGACCGCAGGAUCCGUGGCCCUCAGGGGCCCUGCCGCGCCCUCCCCUCUUCCUGGGGAUCGCUUCCCGCCUCGGAAGGGAUGCCGCUUGUUCCGCGCCGCACCUCCGGUGCACGCGGGACGGCGGCGCCCGCUGGCCGGGGCGGUUGCGAUUCGGGCGCCGGCGGUCCGCGGCGAGUAGGUCGGUCACCCACUCGACCCGUCUUGAAACACGGACCAAGGAGUUUAACAUGCACGCGAGUCACUGGGUCGUGAGCAGGCCCAAGGGCGCAAUGAAAGUGAAGGGCGGCCCAUUGCCGUCCGCGUUGGGAUCCUCCGGUCUCCAAUCAGAUGCCGGGGGCGCACCAACGGCUCGUCCAGGCCGCCACGUCGGCCGGGCGAAGCUAGAGCGUGCACGUUGAGACCCGAAAGAUGGUGAACUAUGGCUGGGCAGGACGAAGCCAGAGGAAACUCUGGUGGAGGUCCGCAGCGGUUCUGACGUGCAAAUCGAUCGUCAGACCUGGCUAUAGG